Molecule: ribosomal RNA, 21 nt
Filed under: Pseudosarcosoma latahense
Lineage: Eukaryota; Fungi; Ascomycota; Pezizomycetes; Pezizales; Chorioactidaceae
Description: partial 26S ribosomal RNA
Source: RNAcentral
UGACCUCGAAUCAGGUAGGGA